Molecule: ribosomal RNA, 430 nt
Filed under: Bacillota bacterium
Lineage: Bacteria; Bacillati; Bacillota
Description: Firmicutes bacterium partial 16S ribosomal RNA
Rfam family: Bacterial small subunit ribosomal RNA
Source: RNAcentral
UGGGGAAUAUUGGACAAUGGGCGCAAGCCUGAUCCAGCCAUGCCGCGUGUGUGAGGAAGGCCUUUUGGUUGUAAAGCACUUUAAGCGAGGAGGAGGCUACUUGGAUUAAUACUCUAAGAUAGUGGACGUUACUCGCAGAAUAAGCACCGGCUAACUCUGUGCCAGCAGCCGCGGUAAUACAGAGGGUGCGAGCGUUAAUCGGAUUUACUGGGCGUAAAGCGUGCGUAGGCGGCUUCUUAAGUCGGAUGUGAAAUCCCUGAGCUUAACUUAGGAAUUGCAUUCGAUACUGGGAAGCUAGAGUAUGGGAGAGGAUGGUAGAAUUCCAGGUGUAGCGGUGAAAUGCGUAGAGAUCUGGAGGAAUAUCGAUGGCGAAGGCAGCCAUCUGGCCUAAUACUGACGCUGAGGUACGAAAGCAUGGGGAGCAAACAGG